RNAcentral lists this ribosomal RNA (3195 nucleotides) under Triticum aestivum (bread wheat). RNAcentral describes it as "partial small subunit ribosomal RNA". The record is from RNAcentral. Lineage: Eukaryota; Viridiplantae; Streptophyta; Magnoliopsida; Poales; Poaceae.
AUGGGAGCUCCCUUGACACCAUUGCUGUACCUUUGCCUACUGCUGGUGCCAUGCCUUCUUCUCUUGCAAGAAGCACAUGCGGCACGCCAUGGAGGGAUCUCACGGAGAUCUCAACGAAUAGCCCUCCUCCGCUGGAAAGCUACACUUGCGAGCCCACCGCUGCAGAUGAGCUCUUGGCAGGAAAACACAAGCUUGUGCAACUGGACGGACAUCAUGUGCGCAGCUGUUCGCCAUGGCCGCCGCAGGCCCUGGGUGGUCACCAACAUCUCCCUGCCAGAUGCUGGCAUCCAUGGCCAGCUUGGUGAGCUCAACUUCUCAGCCCUUCCAUUCCUCACAUAUAUUGACCUCAGCAACAACAGUCUCCAUGGUGCACUACCCGCUAGUAUCAGCUGCCUGUCAUCACUUUUGGAACUCUACCUUCCCUACAACCAGCUCACAUGGAAAAUUCCCGAUGAGAUUGGUGGCCUGCAAAGUCUGAGGGUGCUUGAGCUCUCAUUUAACAGACUCACAGGACAUAUUCCUGCGUCUCUGGGCAACCUAACAAUGUUAACUGAUCUCGCCAUUCACCAAACCAUGGUAUCAGGUCCCAUUCCUGAGGAGAUUGGAAGGCUUGUCAACCUGCAAAUUCUACAGCUAAGCAAUAGCAUCUUAAGCGGCAUAAUACCAAAAACCCUUAGAAAUCUGAGCCGGCUAAAUACUUUGUACCUGUAUGGUUCAAUACCCCCAGAACUAGGCAAACUCACUAAGCUAAACCAACUUGUUCUCUACAAAAAUCAAAUAACAGGUUCAAUACCCCCAGAACUAGGGAACCUCGCUAUUCUAAACCAACUUGAACUCUAUAGUAAUCAAAUAACUGGUUCAAUACUCCCAGAACUAGGGAAUCUCACUGUGCUCAAUGAACUUUCUCUCUAUGCAAAUCAAAUCACAGGUCCAAUACCCCCAGAACUAGGAAACCUCACUAUGCUCAAUGUACUUUAUCUCUAUACAAAUGAAAUCACAGGCGCAAUACCUUUAGAAUUGGGCAUGUUAUUGAAUCUAAGAGAAUUGGACUUGUCCGAUAACCAAAUAUCUGGCUCUAUUCCCCAAGAGAUUGGCAAUCUGAUAAACCUCAAAUAUUUAUACUUGUUUCAGAAUCAAAUUUCGGGCUCAAUACCUAGAACUUUUGGGAAGUUGCAAAGCAUGCAAGAACUACUAGUCUUUGAUAACAACUUAUCAGGUUCUCUUCCUCAAGAAUUUGAAGAUCUCAUCAGCCUUGUUACACUUGAGUUGUCUAACAACUCAUUUUCAGGACCUUUACCCUCAAAUAUUUGUUCAGGUGGCAAACUUCAAUCUCUCAUUGCCUUCUCUAAUAUGUUCAAUGGCCCCAUUCCAAGGAGUUUAAAGACAUGUACGAGUUUGGUUGAAAUUGACCUUCAAUCGAACCAUCUAAUAGGAGAUAUAUCUCAACACUUUGGUGUGUAUCCACAACUCAUAAAGAUGAUCUUGCAAUCGAAUAGACUCUCUGGGCACAUCUCACCAAAUAUAGGUGCAUGUACUCAACUAACGGUGCUACGUCUAGCACAAAAUAUGAUCACGGGUUCCAUACCUCCAGUCAUUUCUAAAUUGUCCAACCUAGAACAACUAAGACUCGAUUCUAACCAUCUGAGCGGUGAGAUUCCACCAGAAAUCUGCACUUUAGCAAAACUAUAUAACCUUAACUUAUCAUCAAACCAAUUAUCUGGAUCCAUACCUACACAGGUAGAAAAGCUAAGCAAUCUAGGAUACCUUGAUAUAUCUGGGAACAGGAUGAGUGGAUUAAUACCUAGGGAACUAGGGGCCUGCAUGAAACUAUUGUCCUUGAAGAUCAACAACAACAACUUUAGUGGGAGUUUGCGUGGUGCGAUUGGAAAUUUAGCAGGCCUACAAAUCAUGUUAGAUGUGAGCAACAAUAACCUCAGUGUUCUGUUGCCGCAGCAACUCGGGAAGUUGGAGAUGCUAGAAUUUCUGAAUUUAUCACAUAAUCAGUUCAGCGGAAGCAUCCCACCCUCCUUUGCAAGCAUGGUGAGCCUGUCAACACUUGAUGUGUCCUACAACAACUUGGAAGGACCAGUCCCAACAGCACGGCUACUUCAAAAUGCUUCAGCAAGUUGGUUUCUUCCCAAUAAAGCAGGUCACCAUAAACGGAAGACACUUGCUUUGCUUUUGCCAAUUGUUCUUGUUGUGGGUUUCAACAUUGUUGCUGCAAUUGCCGUCAUAAUAAUGCUUAGUCGUAAUAAUAGAAAACAACAAGAAAGUGUUACUGCUGAAGGAAGGGACCUAUUCUCUGUUUGGAAUUUUGAUGGAAGAUUAGCAUUUGAUGAUAUUGUAAGGGCAACCGAAGACUUCGACGAGAAGUACAUCAUUGGAACAGGAGGAUAUGGCAAAGUCUAUAAGGCACAACUCCAAGACGGACAUAUAGUUGCUGUGAAGAAGCUUCAUCAGACUGAAGAAGAGUUGGAUGACGAAAGAAGAUUUCAAAGUGAAAUGGAAAUCUUAUCACAGAUCCGACAACGAAGCAUCGUCAAAAUGUAUGGAUUCUGCUCCCAUCCAGUGUAUAAAUUUCUUGUCUAUGAGUACAUUCAGAGGGGCAGCCUCCACGGGUCAUUGGAAAAUGAGGAGCUAGCAAAGGAACUAGAUUGGCAGAAGAGAAUAACUCUUGCAACUGAUGUGGCUCAAGCAAUAUCUUAUUUGCACCAUGAAUGCAGUCCACCCAUAAUCCAUCGAGAUAUCACGAGUAACAACAUCUUGCUUGAUAUAACCUUCAGGGCUUUUGUCUCGGAUUUUGGCACAGCAAGGAUUCUUAAGCCCGAUUCAUCAAACUGGAGUGCACUAGCAGGAACAUAUGGCUACAUAGCUCCUGAACUAUCAUACACAUCUGUUGUGACAGAGAAAUGUGAUGUAUAUAGCUUUGGCGUGGUUAUGCUAGAUCUAGUGAUGGGAAAGCAUCCAAGGGAUAAAUUAGACAUUAGUUUGCCAAGCGAGAAACAAGCUAUGUUGGUGAAAGAUAUUCUGGACCAACGACCAACCACCCCAACAAUAACAGAAGAGAAUAACUUAUCUCUUCUCAUUAAGCUGGCCUUUUCUUGCUUGGAAUCUUCUCCACAAGCAAGGCCGACCAUGCGGGAGGCACACCAAACACUCAUAUGCCUUUCAGCCCACUUACAUUACAGCAAGUAA